Non-coding RNA from Caenorhabditis elegans, 88 nucleotides. Lineage: Eukaryota; Metazoa; Nematoda; Chromadorea; Rhabditida; Rhabditidae. The record is from Ensembl.
CUUUCUCUUUUCCAAUCAGAUCUUAUCGUUAUGAUGAAGAUUCACUAGCUCUACGCGUUUCAGGUCAAUCAAAAGACGGUGUAGUAGG